UGGAAACUUUCCGGGCUCCUCGGGGCUGGGAGGGGGUGAACAGAAAUCAGGCGCGCGAGGAAAACCCUCACCAGGACGUGUCGUCUGCUUUCAGAGCAGCCACAGUGGGAAAAGGGUGUUCCCAAUACGCCGACCCUCUCUCGGUGACCCCACCUGAAAAGUCCCUGCUCCUCUAGGGAGACAGUUGUUGCAGGGUUCCCUUAGUUAGGCAGUGGCAACGCAGAAGGCAGCGAAACAGGCACAAAGUGCCCCCCCCAACACCUCAGCUUCUCAGGGGGACAGCUUUGUCCCUGCCCCAAAGGCAAUAGGGCUAGGAAUGGGGGCUCAGAACCUGCACCCAGUGUUGGAGCAAGUGUCUGUGGCUCGGGCCACAAACACCCGGGGGUGCCUUGCGGAUUCCGAAUCGGGCCUUUCAGCUUCCUCAUUGAAGUCUUGGCACCUUUGAAGUGGAAUUAGGGCAGGAAAAAAAAAAAAGUAAGGUUUUUGUGCAGAGUUUAUUACCUGUGGAUUAAAAUGCUUGGUAGGCAGAAGUUUCAACAAGGCUCAGUUUUAUAAUUUGUUUUGAGAUAGUUUUUGUUGAGUUAAUUUUUGUUUGAAGUGAUUGAAAGGUGACUCUCAACUUUAGUGAGUUUGUGUUUGGUUGAAGUGGGGGCUAACUUUUAAAGUUGUUUUUCCACUCUUAUUCUGGUUAUUUUUCAGUAUCCCCAGAGUUAAUUCCGUAGGCAUGUUCUUUAUCUUGAUUUUUAUCAUCAAAAAAGGGUCAAAAGAAUAAUGUUUAGUCACAUUCCCUACCAAAGAAGUACUAUAGCUAGCCUUCCUUUUCCUUUGUAAUUCGUGCAGAGCCUCUUGGAAACUAGGUUGGGCCCCAAAUUGGCAUUUUUGAUUUGUGAUUAAUUUUUUUUUUUUGGAGGGUGGACCUCAUGGAAGUUUUUUGCUUUACAUCGUGUUAGGUCUUUAUUAUAUAUGUAGCUAUUGGUUUCAUGGUAGAUGUGAGAGAAAGCAAGAAACCUGAAAAGUAUCUAGUAGAAUCUGGGUGAAGUUUUGUAAGUUCUGAAGAGUAUGUAGUAGUGACAAAAUACUUGACUGACGUGGGGUUGGCUUGUUUUCAGAUUUUAAAUAGGUUAAUGUAAGAAAGAAGCUAUGAAAUUUUUAAUAUUUGAGCAUCUUUAUAAAACAGAAGUGGAAAAAAUGGAAAGCAAAACAAUUUUCCUGUGUAUCAUUUUUUCCUCUUAGUUUGAAAUCAACUUUCUUAAUUUGGCCCAAAGUUGAAGCUAUAGUUAAAGACAGUUGUUAACUAUUUAGGGUAAUUACAGAUCAUUAAUUGAUUUACUUUAAUAACACUUUUCUUCAGUGAUAGGUUUUGUAGGAUGUAUUUUGCUGGGUAUAUUGACCUCUUGAGAUUAGGUACCAUUAAAUUUUCCAUAGUCACAAUUUCUCUUCAUUACUUGUGUCUAAGUAUUUUUAGCCUCUGAACAUUGUGGAGGCUCUUAAAUUUAAACUGCAAAAAGGCUAAAAUGUAGUCACUGAUUGUUAACAUUUUAGGAUAAAGUAUAGUAUUAAAUGCUAAUAUAGAAUGAAGACAUUUUAGGGCAGAUAAUUCUCUAAUCAUAAAUAAGAAAGAACUCAUAAUAAAUUGUUGACAUCUUCUUGAUGUAUCUACCACAAAUAGUUGAGUAAAAGUAACCUCUAAAGGUUUCAAAAGUUUUAAUGAGAGAGAAACUUUGUUACAACAUAGUUCUGUAAUGUGGGAAACAAACAAACAAACAAAAAAACCUGUUGAAUCUAGAGUAGAGCCAGCCUAAGUAAGAAAUGGUGAAAUUUGAGAUCUUUGAAUUGUGAGCUAUGCCUUCACUGGGGGCUUUUAAACAGUGGCAAUACAUGUGUAGAAAGAUCAGUUAUUUAAUUUGUACAUGUAAGCGCCCUAACAUGCUUGCUUGGUUGGCAGAGUCUCUGGCUAUUUUUCAUUCCAUGCUUUUCUAUGAGGGAGACCCUAGGGAGUUAUCAAAAAAAAAAAAAAAAAAAAUGGGAGGAAGUUUGUGAUGAGGUGGAAAACUCUAAGCAUAGCUAUGGGGAAAAUGUGUGUUGGCUUUAGUAGUAAGGAGGGUAAAAGGUGGAGUUUAGGCUCAAGAUUUACUUGUAGAUUCUCUAGCAUUUUCUACUUUAUUGUAUAAUCAAUAUUUUAGCCGAUAUAUAGUUACUGCAUGAAUGACAUCAAAUCCUGGCAGGGAUGGGCGAACUCAUCCAAAAUCCUUGAAACCUUGAUGAAGGCUUUAUCAAAUAUGCUGUUUUGUAUUUUCUAGCUGUUCCUAACUACUGAGCACUUAGAGCCAACUUACACAUUCCACAGAAUUAACUAAAUGGUUUCCAUUUUAAGAGAAAUACUUAUUUCAAUACCACAAAUAGCACCACUCCUUUGAGCAAAACAAUAACUCUGGUACCUUAAAAAUAUGCUUUUAGUAGGGGAAAUACAACUUACAUUGACUGUCAGUGAUCUUACUAUGAGUAUUUUUGGCCCACUUUACAUUUCUGUAUUUGUGCUGUCUUUGACAGAUCAGUCCAGCACUAAAGACUAUGGGGAAAAUUAAUAAAACGAGCAAUGCCUGUUGAUCCUUUUUCUUCCAUAGACCUGUAUCUGCAUGAAUUCGGGCCCACAAGAGGUCUUAGAGUAUAACCCCACACAGCCCUUUACUGAUUCUGAGAGCAGACAAUAGAGACAGGAGUCAGCUCUGGCAUUAGCAAAGCGGACUUCAUGUUCUAUAUAGCAAAUCAAGCCCUGGGCUCUUUUAGCCCUAUCCAACUCAGCCCCACUUCCUUCCCCAGGGUGUAACAACUGGAUUAAAAGACUUAGAUCCAAAUGGGAAAAUUAGUGUCAUUUGUAUAUAGGCAGUAGCCGUAUUCAAAGUGCUUUCAAACUAAUUGGGGGGAAAAAUCAAGACAUAGUGUGAUUUAAUUUUAAGUCCUUCAGGGUGGGAAGUGUGUAGGAGUCUGUGGCUUAAGAAUACCUUUAGUUUUUCCAUUUAUUUUGAGUUGUUUACAGUUUGCAUUUGUAUACUCUCUCUCUCUCUCUCUCUCUCUCUCUCUCUCUCUCUCUCUCUCUCUGUGUGUGUGUGUGUGUGUGUGUGUGUGAUUUACUUCAUAUUAUACAAUUUGGAAGAUGGGAAAACUAUAGUAAAGUUGUAAAUUUUAGUUUUCAAGUUGGUGUAAGUUUUCUUCUGUUGAGGUAAUUCUGUGAUGAAUUGUCUUCUUUAUGUUUUAAGUUGGUGUUCUUUGGAAAUAAUUCUGAUUCUGAGCCAGGAUAGCAGCAAAGGAGAGGGAAAAAAAAAAAAAAACCCACUGUGUCUAAAAGCCAGUCUAACCUGCACUUGAUAUCUUUAAUCAUCUCUGUUAAUUUCAGAUGGACUUUGGCCAUGUUAAUACAUUGAAUGUGUAUUGAGUAACUUAGAGAGUUCAGCCCUGAAAGUCACGCUUCAGAACUUGUGGGCUGGGUGACUUUUUUCUAACUGAUUUAAAUGUGACAGUAUCUAGUCAAGACCAAUAUUGCUACACAUCUAAGUUGCAAACUGUUUAGAAUCUAGGGUUUUAGUGCAGGCCCUGGACUGAUAACCAGGAAGUCAAACUAAUGAGAUCUACUACCUAACAAAGUCUGAGAUUGUUAAACUAUAUAUAGUGCACACUUCCUUUCAUAAAGUCACUAUUGAAUCACCUGUGGAUUUUGUUAGCUUUUUCUUCACUUACGCCUAGCCAUUUAGUGAUUAUCUCAACUCCAUUAACUUAAUUUUUUUGUGAGUUUUAAAUAAAAACAGUGAAUUUGCUUUGCACCACAAAUCCCUGGGUCCGAUCCCCAGCACUGAAAUAAAACAAAACCAGAUUAAAAAUAAGACCCAGUAGCAGUGGGUGGAUGGAAGUCUGAGUUCUUCCUCUCUACACUGCGACUGGAGUCUUUUAAACUAGGAUUCCUGUAGUUUUAGACCAGAACUUUCACAUUCUUGCUGAUUGUCCUGUUGCCUGGUGUUUCCGAUCCUGUGCUGUGCUGUGCUGUAACUCAAAAUGGUUUUUCUUUCUUUAUGGAUAGUGUGUGGAGCUUAACUAAACUUUUAAAAAAGAAGUAAACCCCAGUUUUCAGCCUGACAAGUAAUUCCAAAGCAACACUUUGUACGUAGCCCCCAGUGACAGAUUAAAGCCACUAGCCCUGCUGUUAUUUUUUGUCUUUUGAGUUGGGAUUUGGGUGAUGUUUUAGGUGCAGCAUGAGUAUGCAAAGAAAAGGUUUGGAUUGUAUUCCAAAGUAAAAUUAUACCUAGAUUGAUGUAUGAUGACUGACUUCUAAUUACUCUUAAGUAUUAAGUACUUAAAAUUAUAUAACAUUUUAACUCUGGAGACAAAUUUCUAGUUUUAUAUAAAAAAUUUCACUUAAGUCCUCUUAAUCUUAUUAAAUAUUAAGUCAUAUUUUCCUAAAGACGUUUUCUUUCAGUCAUUUAUCAUUUCCAACUAGCAGUAACUGAAAAUAUUUUGAAGAAAAUAAAAUGAGAAAAUUUUAAAAUAAAGAUCAAUUGGGUUAAUUUUUAAAGAACUAAGUCUUUCAUUUUUUUCUGUGUUUGUGUGUUUUCAAGUUCUGAAGUAAUGACACAGGAUGAAUUUGAAAGAGCCACUUUCCUUUACAAAUAAAUAUAUUUGAUAAUUGUUCAAAGUUGAUAUCCAGAAUUUCCUGUUUUGUUUAACACUUGAUAAAAACAAAUAAAAAUGGAAACCCGAGUCUCAGGGAAGAAACAAAUUCAUUUAAAAACCAGCGUUUGUAUUUGAUGAAUUCAUUUUACCAAGCAGAAGUGCUAGUAGUCCUUCGUUUUUGUUUUUGUUUUUUUUUUUUUUUAAUUUUCUAAGUUAGAAGCAAUAAGAAAUCUGUGUAUUUGGAAAACUGUUCCGAUGACAGGCCUUAGCACUAAUUAGCUAAGCUAAAAAUAAUUCAUGCUGGAAAUAUUAAAAUGUAAAUACAAUCUAAGUCAUUAUUAUUCACUUGUAAUUAAGAACCCAUCUCCAAAUAUUAACUAAUGCUCACACAGAAUUGCUUUCUUAACUAGCCAGGGAAUCAACUUGAUCCAAAACUUUUUGUCAACAUCCAAUAAAAUAUGUAUCUCACCUGUCUUAGUUGCCAAAGCAGUACUGACUGCAGCAGUUACCUGCAUCUAUGAUUAUUGUCUGUGUGCUGUGCUUGUCUUACUAUGGGAGACCAUCUCCACAGCACUGGUGAUCUAGCUGCAAUGAUUGUUUCUGUGUUAUGGACUAGAAAACUGGCCCGACAAGAUUAAAGAUGCCAGCAAUCUCCUAAAUGGUGCAGCCUCCUCUUUUGACCCAGUGUGUUUCCUAUCCUAUCUCUGUUUCAGAUUUUCUAUAUAUCAUGAUAUUUAAGCAGAUGAUUUGCGAAGCUUUUUAAAAAAUGGUUUGAGAAUCAGUAUAGUGUGCGUAUUCUUUUCCUUCUUGACUAGAAGAACUGGCUCAAGCUCAUGUCCAUGUCUGUCAAGAUGCAGGAGAUAGACAUAGGUAUUUGUUUAUAUGACCAAAAAAAGGUGAGGCAUUAUGUUAGGGAACCAAAUCUACUGUUUUAAAUGGAUUGUAAAUUUUCUCUUGGAAACUUUUCAUGGAGAUUAUUCCAUGAAAAACAUAUGGAAACAUUUCCCCCUGAACCUCAACAAGUGAAUAAAAAGAUAGCUUUUUUUUUUAACUUUGAAAGUUCUAAUGUGUGUAUGGAUUAUAGUGUACUGGUGAGAUGGUUCAGCAUAUAGAGACGCCUACUGCUGCCAAGCCAAGCCUGGUGUUCUCAGUGCUGUCCCAGAACCGGAGUGGGGGCGGGGAGGAGAGAACUGACUCCCACAAGUUGUCCUCAGACUGUCACAGGGGAGUCAUGGAAUAUGUGUAUCACACACACACACACACACACACACACACACACACACACACACCUACCUACCUUCAGGUCCUACAGAGUUGGAUUUAAGGUUCUUACCAUUUCUUCCCACUGGUAUCUAUCCAAGACGGAACAGUGGUUGUACAAUUAGUUUGUAUUUUGUGGUUGUUUAAAGAUUUUAUACAAGAGCGAAGACCCCUUUCCCAGCUAAUGUUUUUUGUGUCUGAAACUUGGUGUGGGAGGGACAUGGUUAAACAACAGAAACCUCUGACUGGUGAACAGAGCUUGCAGGCUAAAUAAAAACACUGAUUACAGUGCAGCGGGGAGCUUUAAUAUAUAUGAAUAUUAAUAUUUGCAUGGAGUGAGAGAUCAAAAUCAAUUUGAGGUCAAAACAAAAAAGUUAAAGGAAAGAUUAGAGAAUUUAAAUUAAAAACUGAAUGUAGAGUACGUCUCAUAAUUAUAAGUGAAAUUUAGACAGCAAAAAUACUUAGAGCUUUAGGGUUUUUCAUUUGAGUACCUGUUGGUUACUCACUAGAUCGUAGUGGAUAUAUUUCAGGAAAUUGAUGUCUCUGUGAGAGUUUGAAAGCAGGGUUUUAUGGAAAAAGCACCCUAAGGACAACCAAACCAAACACAAAAGACAAUUUUAUACUGGUUUGCAAAUGGGAAACCGUUAUUUCUUUUUGUGUUUGCCUAUGGAAAUUAGGGGCUACACAGAAAUUUAUAGCUCUGGAAGAAAACACUAGAACAGGCAAUAUUAUUAUCAGAAAUUGAAUUCCCAGAGCACAUGGCAUUCUAGAAAAUGACACUAGAAAAUGGCACAGUCGUAUAUGAGAAUGAAAAGGAAGUCCGCAAAUUCUGUCAUUAGCUACCAGGAUUGCUCAGGCUGAGCAGCAGUCCACUUAAGAAGGUUGCUGGGGAUGGGACAGUCUUAGCACAGAGCUAAUGUUGCUUCACAUCUCCCCUUAGAGAUUCCAAGCAGAAGGUAGGGACUAUACACAGACAUCAGACUCUGACCCUUGGAUUCCAGUCCCAGCUCAGUACCUAGAGUCCAUGUGUGUUAACUGUGUGUGUUAACUGCCUUGCCUUCCCUACUUGUGAAGUGAGAUUAAGCUAAACUAAUGUUUUCCUCAUAGAGAAUAUCAAAAGGGAUCUUAUAUGCAAAAAAACAUACAUGCACAGUUUUGUUCCAAUGAAAAUAAACUAGACGAGGCUAUGAAUGUGUGUUUUUGUUCUUGUCAUUGUUCAGAGUUCUUGAGCCUUCAUGAAAUCAUCUGAACUCAAAGUUUCCUACCUGUAGUCCGUUGAUUAUGGGGGAUUUUGUGGAUAGAAUUCAAGGUGGUAUGAGGUUGGUAAAUCUAUAAAAAUUUCAUUGACUUUUACUAAUCUCUAAUUGAAAUUCAGCAUUUUGUCAGUACUGGAGUCAGAUUUACCAUAACUGUGACUUUAUCAUGGGUGGAUUUGGAUACUUUAAUAUCUCAUUAUAGUUAUUGCUGAUACUUGAAAUGUUUUAUGUAUUGCAUAUCUUCAACAUUAUGGUAAUCACUAGAACUACUCUUAGACCUGUUUUUAAUCUAUUAAUAAUAAUACAAUAAUAAAUUAAUAAAGAAUCACAUGAAGAGACUUGGGAGAUAGCUCAGUAGGUCGAACAUGCUAACUUUUUAAGCAUGAGGACCUGAGUUCAAACCCAGGACCUACACUUAAAAAAAAGCCCACUGUGGUAGUACGUGCUUGUAAUCUUUCCACUUGGGAGGCAGAGGCAAGAUGAUCAUGAGUUCAGGGCCUCUUUGUGCUGCAUAGUGAGACUUGUCUCAAAAUAAAAUUUAAAAAAAUAAAUAAAAUCUCUUAGUGUUGUAAUAUAAUGAAAGCAGUGCCUUGUGUGAUGCAAGGCAUAGUGCUUCAUCUGGUAGUCCAGGAAAGCACCAUUUCUGCCUGUCCUGGAAAGUGCAGGUCAAACUGUGUCAGCCCACUCAGAGGGGUGAUGAGCAUAGCAAAUGGCAAGUGAUACACACAGCCUUGUGUUAAUAUCUUCUGAACACCUAGACAGUGCUGGGGAAAGGGCCAUGGGGAGAGAUCAUCUGGAAACACAUACAAAAGGCAGAUGUUUGCAUUUUACUUUUAAAUUUUCAUAUAUCUGCCAUAGUGAAUUUCACCCAUGAAAAUGACAGUGACUAGAGAUUGCUCUGCCCCUUGGGACCUUUGCUCUGCCCUCCUGAGAGCACCCACCAGAUACCUAAUACGUAUGCGUCUGCCCUCAACUGUUUUGGUUCCUUCAAUUCUCACUCUUGUGCCAUACUCUUUGCUGACACCCAACAAGAGAUCAUUGAAAAGGUUAUGCAGGGUUAUCUUUUGAGUCUUCUCUUCUAGUUCUACUUUGUGCUUUAAGGAAUUGGGAUUCACUUACAAAAAGCACAGCAAAUAAACUAGUAUUUAAUUUCUACAUCAUAUUAAUCUCAAUUUCCAGUGUUGGUUAUUUGAGCUUCCUCAAUAAUAGACAUUUAAAGGAAUGGUUUUCCUGGGAAUUGGCAUUGUUCUUCAUUUAGUCUGAUCAUGGUGGCCUUACCAUUAAGAAAGUGUGUGUUUAAGGUUUUAGUAGCAUACAACAACCACAUACACCCAAGACAUUUUCUGGGGCUUAGGAUAUGGCUCAGUCAGAAAACACACUUGUUAUGAAAGGAGGAGGGCAUGGAUUCAAAUCCUUGGCACCCACAUAGGAAGCCGUGCUCUCCUGGAACUCCAGGGUUGGGGACAGGAGGACCUGGAUCGGUUCUGACCAGCCAGGCUAGUCUAAAGGCUGGUUUCAUGUUCAGUGGGAGAACCUGUCUAAAAUAAAAAUAAUAAUAUUAGAACAGUAGAGGAAGAUACCUAACAUACCCUUUGCCCUGCAUAUAUGUGGUCUUGAACACAUUCGCUUGCACACACAUGUGCAUCACCCCCCUCCGUACAUGCAUGUGUGUGUGUGUGUGCAUGAAAAUACAUGAGAGAGAGUGAGAGAGACAGAGACAGAGACAGAGACAGAUUUUUUCAAAUCUAGAGGGGCCCACAUUCUCUUUUGGGUCAAUGAUUAUUGAGGUGAUAGAAGGUAAGGCUCCUUAAAGGGUAAAUGGACAACUCAAGCGUCUGUAACUUCGUAGUCUUGCCUUUCUAGCACAUCAACUUUUCUUUGGGGUGUUUUUUCCAAAGUUUUAUGUCCCUUUUAAAAACUAGAUGAAAUAUAUUUGACUUACUAAAGAUUUUAAAUAAAGCUCAGCAUUUAGAAGCACUUGAUGUCCUUGCAGGGGACCUGAGUUCUGUUCCCAGCAUCUGCAUAGAAGCUCACAAUCAAUUUUUUUUACCUCCAGUUUCAGGGGAUCUGAUGCUGUCUUCUGGCCUUUGUGGGCACCAGGUAAUCACAUGAUGUGCAGGCAAACACUAAUAAAUAUAAAAUAAAAGUAAAUAUUUUGAUAAUUUCUAUAUUAUAUUUGUUUUUUCUUCACCAGAUUCAAAAUUCAUUUUGCUACAGAGUGCCCCCUCCCCUCCAGCCCACUUACUAAGUGGGUCACACCAGAGAUACAUCUCUGCAGUGUUCUGCACUUAUAUGAUGAAGAUGCAGAUAUAAUAGCUUUCUUUAUUUACAAAACCAAAGAAUAUUCUAAAUCCUUCACAUAAAGCAGACUAGGGCUCACAACAACCCAUCCAUCCCAGCAGACACUCUUACCCUCUCUGUUUACAGAUGGGAGAACUCCGUCGCAUAGGCUCUCAACCUUGGUCCUCCUCAUAUUUGGGUUGUGUAAUUUGUUCUAAGAAGCAGAUGUCCCCCAUGUUUAACAGCAUUCCUGUCCUUCACUCAGUUGUGUCAACCAAAAAUGCUUGAAUUGGUCCUGGUUGAGAAUUACUAUUGUAAUUGUAAACUUGUAACAGAAGUGUACUUUCUUGAAAGACCUUCUUAGUGACAUUUAUGAUGACUCAUGGUCACAACUGGGCAAAUUACACACUGCAGACCCUGUGUCUACACCAGGCAGAAUGCACUUGUGUGGGGUGGAUAUGAGUUAAACUUAACCCAUACUAUUCUACUUUGCAGCCUUUCCUCACAUUGAUUCCAGUGCAUGCUAAAGACUACAAUUCUUGACUCUGCUUUUAACUUCUUCUAAUUGCUCUAUGUACACAUCCCCAAUUCAUGUACUGUUUCUUUUCUAUACUUCCCCUUGGACUGGAUCCAUCAUAUACACACAAACACACAAUCUUAAUUUUCUCUGUGUAAUAGAGAACUUAAUAUCUGAAUUGCUUCACAGCAAGAAUUUAUGUCCCAGCCAAGACUAGCAGCUGCCAAGAAAAGCAUACCCAGUAAUGAAUAACUCACAAAGAUUUGGUAAAGAAAAAGGAAAGUUAUAUGAUGAAGUAUAUUACUAAGAUAUUGAGUUUUGUUUAUUCAGUGUGAUAACCUGUUAAGUUCACACAAGUCAAGCGGGUUUAAGACUUUGGUCAUUGUUUCUUUGUAAUUUUAUAUUCUGUUUUCAGGAGCAGCUGGAGAUAGUAGAGGGUGAAGAGAGAAGGAGGAGUAGGGAGGGCAGGGAAUGAGAUUGAUUGACUUAAAUCCUAGCCUUGCCAAACAUGCUAACCAUAUGACCUGUCUCUCUUUUUCCCCCUAAGGCUGUGCUCCCCACCAGCUGAAUGAGGUAAUGAUGGGAAACCGAUCACACUGUUGAAGAAUUGAAAUGAGAGAUUGUGCAUUAGUAUCCAGAUCAUGUCAGUGCCUAAGUCUAGAGAGAGAAGUGAAACAGUACAAUGGGGAAAAGAAAGGUGCUCACGGAAAGGGAAAGUGUCUAGAAACCUUGAAGAUUGAUGGCUGAGAAUGGGAGGCUGACAAAGUAGGUACCUGGCUCCAGGACAAGACUGUAAGGGGCUUGUGCAAUAGAUUCUUCAUAACCUCCUAGCUGACCAAGGGAAACACACACCAUGGACUUCACAUGGCUCACUGAAUGACUGUGUGAAAUGCUCAACAUUUGUUUCUAGAAAACAAGGCUGAUGUUAGCAGUGUCCAAGUGGAAGGAGAGAUUGUGGGAAAGUAAAGCAACCAAGAGGCGUGGUAUUGGUCCUGUAACUUGGACCUGGAGAGGAGGCAAGAUGCUGGCAUAGCUGUUGAACUAGAACCUGCUAUGCCAACAUAUUGCCAUCUUUCCUGUCUGACAGCAGCUUGGCUACCUCCAUGCCAUUCUUCCAUAUUUCACUACAACCAAUAUGUGGCAUGUAGGGGUUUUGUGACUUGGUCCGCCUUAUCCCAACUUCUCUCUGAUCAUGUAUUGAGUCACUCACUCCAUUCUAGCCACAUUGGCCUUUGGGGGCUGUUCUUGGAUACACCAGGGAUGUUCCUGCCUCUUCACUCAUCUGCCUUUGUUUCAUCAUUUGAGUCUCAGUGAAGACAUCAUGUUCUUGGAAAGUCUUUCAUAGUGGCCUUGCCUAUAAAAGCUUCCAUGUGCCCAGCUACUGCUCAUCCCAUGACCCUGCUCUGUCUUCAAAAACAUUGGUCACUGCCUGAACAUGUUUGCUUGCUCAGUUGCUGGCUUAUAUCCUUUUCCAAAUUGUGUCUCCUUUAAGGAUGACGGAUCUUGACAUUUUACUCACUGUAUCCCUAGACCCUGACACUUGUAAGUCCUCAAUUCAUGGCUUUGAAACUUUACCCUGAACUUAUUGUGCAAUAAAGGUGUCAAAUAAUUACAUUUUAUCGUGUCAUGAAUGGUUCUGAUGAAACACUGGUUUAUAAGUAACAAAAAAUAAACAAGUAAUAUUGAUUUCCAGGCCUACAAACCCAGCAUCUUAAAGGAACUGUAAUAAAGGUAUCAUCAAACCUACCAACUCAGAAGACAAUAUAUUGUAUUGAAAAGACAUCAUAUUGGAAAUAAAAGUUAUUUUCCAGUCUCA
Non-coding RNA from Cricetulus griseus (Chinese hamster), 11791 nucleotides. Lineage: Eukaryota; Metazoa; Chordata; Mammalia; Rodentia; Cricetidae. The record is from RefSeq and is a predicted model, not a curated record.